This 239-nucleotide ribosomal RNA is filed under the name uncultured bacterium. Its description in RNAcentral is "partial 16S ribosomal RNA". It matches the Rfam family "Bacterial small subunit ribosomal RNA", at positions 15 to 246 of the family's 1533-position model. The record is from RNAcentral.
GAUCCUGGCUCAGGACGAACGCUGGCGGCGCGCCUAACACAUGCAAGUCGAACGGAGAUUUUGAGAGCUUGCUUUUAAAAUCUUAGUGGCGGACGGGUGAGUAACGCGUGAGUAACCUGCCUUUCAGAGGGGGAGUAACGGCUGGAAACGGCCGCUAAUACCGCAUGACAUAUUGGAGCCGCAUGGCUCUGAUAUCAAAGGAGCAAUCCGCUGAAAGAUGGACUCGCGUCCAAUUAGCG